AUUGAACGCUGGCGGCAUGCCUUACACAUGCAAGUCGAACGGCAGCACGGGGCAACCUGGUGGCGAGUGGCGAACGGGUGAGUAAUACAUCGGAACGUGCCAUUGAGUGGGGGAUAACGUAGCGAAAGUUGCGCUAAUACCGCAUAUUCUGUGAGCAGGAAAGCAGGGGACCGCAAGGCCUUGCGCUCUUUGAGCGGCCGAUGUCAGAUUAGCUAGUUGGUGAGGUAACGGCUUACCAAGGCGACGAUCUGUAGCGGGUCUGAGAGGAUGAUCCGCCACACUGGAACUGAGACACGGUCCAGACUCCUACGGGAGGCAGCAGUGGGGAAUUUUGGACAAUGGGCGCAAGCCUGAUCCAGCCAUGCCGCGUGAGUGAAGAAGGCCUCGGUUGUAAG
RNAcentral lists this ribosomal RNA (395 nucleotides) under uncultured bacterium. RNAcentral describes it as "bacterial SSU rRNA". It matches the Rfam family "Bacterial small subunit ribosomal RNA", at positions 30 to 429 of the family's 1533-position model. The record is from RNAcentral.